AUUAGUGCUGGAGACUGAAGCCAUCUAUUUAUCCACAGAACAGGUUCAAUGUGGGCAGCAGCAGCUACAGUGCACACUUCCUCCAUACUGCUCUGCCAGUAUGCCUGCUCUGGAGGAAUCACUUCUAGGAUGUUUGAGCUUAGUUCAGUUUCCGUUCCUGUUCAUGCAGUGGCCAAG
Molecule: small RNA, 177 nt
Filed under: Sphenodon punctatus (tuatara)
Lineage: Eukaryota; Metazoa; Chordata; Lepidosauria; Sphenodontia; Sphenodontidae
Description: TUC338 (ENSSPUG00000004243.1)
Source: RNAcentral